Molecule: ribosomal RNA, 468 nt
Filed under: uncultured bacterium
Lineage: Bacteria
Description: partial 16S ribosomal RNA
Rfam family: Bacterial small subunit ribosomal RNA
Source: RNAcentral
GACGAACGCUGGCGGCGUGCUUAAUACAUGCAAGUCGAACGGAAAGGCCCUGAUCUUGUGGGGUGCUCGAGUGGCGAAGGGGUGAGUAACACGUGAGUAGCCUGUCCUUGACAUUGGGAUAACUUCACGAAACAGGGGCGAAUACCGGAUAGGAGCUCCUGCAGCACGGUGGGCGUUGGUAAGUUUCGGCGGUUGGGGGAGGACUCGCGGCGUAUCAGCUUAUUGGUGCGGUAGUGGCUUACCAAGGUUUUGACGGGUAGCCGGCCUGAGCGGGUGAGCGGCCACCUAGGGACUGAGAGACGGCACAGACUCGUAAGGGAGGGAACAGUGGGGAAUCUUGCCGGAUGAGCGGAGGGCUGAUGCAGCAGCGCCGCGUGCGGGAUAACGGCGUUCGGAUUGUAAACCACUUUCGCCUGUAACGAUGCGUGUGUGACCGGAAUGUAUUCAGAAGCACCGGCUUACUUCGUG